This 306-nucleotide ribosomal RNA is filed under the name uncultured Pseudomonadota bacterium. RNAcentral describes it as "bacterial SSU rRNA". It matches the Rfam family "Bacterial small subunit ribosomal RNA", at positions 145 to 453 of the family's 1533-position model. The record is from RNAcentral. Lineage: Bacteria; Pseudomonadati; Pseudomonadota.
AGCCCGGGGAAACUCGGAUUAAUACCGUAUACCUCCUUUGGGAGAAAGAGGGCCUCUCUUGAUGCUCUCGCUAUUAGAUGAGCCUGCGUAAGAUUAGCUUGUUGGUAAGGUAAUGGCUUACCAAGGCUACGAUCUUUAGCUGGUCUGAGAGGACGAUCAGCCACAUUGGGACUGAGACACGGCCCAGACUCCUACGGGAGGCAGCAGUGGGGAAUAUUGGACAAUGGGCGCAAGCCUGAUCCAGCCAUACCGCGUGUGUGAAGAAGGCCUUCGGGUUGUAAAGCACUUUAAGCAGGGAGAAAAAGC